RNAcentral lists this ribosomal RNA (1422 nucleotides) under uncultured organism. Its description in RNAcentral is "16S ribosomal RNA". It matches the Rfam family "Bacterial small subunit ribosomal RNA". The record is from RNAcentral.
CAGGCUUAACACAUGCAAGUCGAGGGGCUUCAUGGUCUUAGCUUGCUAAGGCCGAUGGCGACCGGCGCACGGGUGAGUAACACGUAUCCAACCUGCCGUCUACUCUUGGACAGCCUUCUGAAAGGAAGAUUAAUACAAGAUGGCAUCAUGAGUCCGCAUGUUCACAUGAUUAAAGGUAUUCCGGUAGACGAUGGGGAUGCGUUCCAUUAGAUAGUAGGCGGGGUAACGGCCCACCUAGUCUUCGAUGGAUAGGGGUUCUGAGAGGAAGGUCCCCCACAUUGGAACUGAGACACGGUCCAAACUCCUACGGGAGGCAGCAGUGAGGAAUAUUGGUCAAUGGGCGAGAGCCUGAACCAGCCAAGUAGCGUGAAGGAUGACUGCCCUAUGGGUUGUAAACUUCUUUUAUAAAGGAAUAAAGUCGGGUAUGGAUACCCGUUUGCAUGUACUUUAUGAAUAAGGAUCGGCUAACUCCGUGCCAGCAGCCGCGGUAAUACGGAGGAUCCGAGCGUUAUCCGGAUUUAUUGGGUUUAAAGGGAGCGUAGAUGGAUGUUUAAGUCAGUUGUGAAAGUUUGCGGCUCAACCGUAAAAUUGCAGUUGAUACUGGAUAUCUUGAGUGCAGUUGAGGCAGGCGGAAUUCGUGGUGUAGCGGUGAAAUGCUUAGAUAUCACGAAGAACUCCGAUUGCGAAGGCAGCCUGCUAAGCUGCAACUGACAUUGAGGCUCGAAAGUGUGGGUAUCAAACAGGAUUAGAUACCCUGGUAGUCCACACGGUAAACGAUGAAUACUCGCUGUUUGCGAUAUACUGCAAGCGGCCAAGCGAAAGCGUUAAGUAUUCCACCUGGGGAGUACGCCGGCAACGGUGAAACUCAAAGGAAUUGACGGGGGCCCGCACAAGCGGAGGAACAUGUGGUUUAAUUCGAUGAUACGCGAGGAACCUUACCCGGGCUUAAAUUGCAGAUGAAUUACGGUGAAAGCCGUAAGCCGCAAGGCAUCUGUGAAGGUGCUGCAUGGUUGUCGUCAGCUCGUGCCGUGAGGUGUCGGCUUAAGUGCCAUAACGAGCGCAACCCUUGUUGUCAGUUACUAACAGGUUCCGCUGAGGACUCUGACAAGACUGCCAUCGUAAGAUGUGAGGAAGGUGGGGAUGACGUCAAAUCAGCACGGCCCUUACGUCCGGGGCUACACACGUGUUACAAUGGGGGGUACAGAGGGCCGCUACCACGCGAGUGGAUGCCAAUCCCCAAAACCUCUCUCAGUUCGGACUGGAGUCUGCAACCCGACUCCACGAAGCUGGAUUCGCUAGUAAUCGCGCAUCAGCCACGGCGCGGUGAAUACGUUCCCGGGCCUUGUACACACCGCCCGUCAAGCCAUGGGAGCCGGGGGUACCUGAAGUGCGUAACCGCGAGGAGCGCCCUAGGGUAAAACU